Panthera uncia (snow leopard) is the source of this 6616-nucleotide long non-coding RNA. RefSeq lists it as uncharacterized. NCBI's taxonomy places the organism in Eukaryota, Metazoa, Chordata, Mammalia, Carnivora, Felidae. The record is from RefSeq and is a predicted model, not a curated record. The transcript has 4 exons.
CGAGCCUCCACCCAGAAGCCCGCAGCUGCAGUUUUUUUCCCUUCACCUGACAGGUCUGUUUUUUAAUCCAAAGGAUUUGUCCAAGUGACGCCUGCGCCCAGCAAAACCUCGGAAAAAUACAAAGAAUGUAAUAAUAAUGGUUCUAGUAAUAAUUUAACCAGCGCCUAUUUGCCAGGCCUCUUUUUUGUUUUUAAUGUUUAUUUAUUUUUGAGAGACAGAGAGAGAAUCCAAAAUAGGCUCCACACAGUCAGCACAGAUGCCAGGCUUCUUCUUGAAUCCUUCCAACCACACUGGAGGAAAAGAGGACCGAGGCGCCCAGUGUCCACGGUAACCCCUAGGGGGCGCGCGUGGUCCAGAUCGGAGACGCCAGAACAAUCCUGGACCGCGCCGCUGCGAGCGCACCUCAUUCUAGGGCAAAAGCCCCAGCUCAGGUGCAAAUACUGGCUGUUAGAGGACCCGGUGCUAACUUUGGGGGAACCCCUCCCUCACUCCCUGUGGUUUUGGGGCUCACCAGUCAAGGUGGCCCCAUCUCUCUCACCCCACGAGCUGGACCAAUCACAGUCCUUCCUGGAUCUUCUUGACAGAAUCUAGGAGGCAGGCUUUCUUUCUGCUGGGCUUGCUAAACUGGCCAGAGAUGACCCUUGUGCUGUCCAGUUCCAUCACACCCACCCAGCAGAGAAAGCCCGAGUGACAAAGAGAGAGAGCCGCAAUGAUAUCAUUCAAGCCCCUAGAUCCAGAUGGACCUGAAGCUAGACCCACUCCUAAUCUGUCCACGAUACAAGUUUAUGUGAAGAUCAUAUGUAACCACCUGCAAGUAACUUAAAAGCAUGACUGUUCAAACUAAAAGGAAGAAUUUCUCUUCCCAGCAGGGUUGUUUCAAAGAACAGAGCAUGAUUCACUGUAUUUUCUUAAAGAAGAAUUUCCCUGUGUUGAUUUUUUGAGGGGCUGGGAAGUCUUCACAAAGACAAUAAGAUUUGUGAAAAAUAACCAAGAACAGAAUAUUUUCAUUUCAUCCUCCUAAGAAAACUUGAAAUUAAAAGAGAAAUGCAGCUGCUAAUUGGGAAGACUGUGAAGUAAGCACACCCUCAGAUAGUGCAAUAUUUUUAGUCCUUGUACUCUGUGGCUCCUCUUUUUCCAGUACCUUCUUGAGGAUAAAUUUAAGAGUUCAACUUUAUCCAGGAUUUAAACAACUAUGAGACAAUUCUUCAGGGAAGAGGAAAAGUAGUCUCCACUCAUAGAGGAAAUGGACUCUACAGGAUGGAGCUCAGCUUCAUCUGAUUUUAUCCUAUCAUGAGGUACAAAUAUUGAACUAAAUUCCUCUUUAAGCAGCUUCUAGAAUGAACAAAGGAUUCACAUACAAAACAUCAACAGGCACACAGAAGGAUGGGUUUAUAAAUACAGGUGUAAAGCCAUUGUAAGAAUGAACAAACUAGUAAACAUUUAAUGCCUCAUGGAGGUUUUGCCUCUAGCGUCUUGGAAUGUAGACUGUGUAAAGGAGGGUGACCUUACCCUGAGGAAGACUUGGAGGAAGAGAGAGAAUUCAAGACCUUCACAGAUUCCUUUCUCUUGAGACAUUCAUCCAUCCACCUGUUCAUUCCACUAUUGGUUGAGCAUCUACUCAGUACCAGAAAGAACAGGAUCCUUGCCCUCAUGAAGCUCACAGUGGUAUCGGGUGGGGUGGGGGUGGGGAGCAAACAAUAUUUGUAACAGUAAUUAUAAGUCAGUAAAUUACCUUAUAUGUUAACUGGUGAUAAAAAUGGAAAAAGGAAGCGGGGAGCCAGGUAAGCCGGCUCAUCAGUGCAGGAGGUGGAGAUCCUGAAAUCCUAACCCCACAGAUUAGUGCCCUAGUGCACAAAUUGCAAUGCUCCUACAGCACACACUGAAGCAACUCUAAUCCCCAAUUUCUUCCUUAUCAACAAGGACAUUCCAAUAUCUUUACUGUUUGAGUUGACUUUAUCUGGACUUACAUAAUACCAUUUUAUAUAUGGAUGGUAGAUGAAAAUAAAAGGUAGGAAAGAAUUUCUCUAAAAAUAUCAGGGAAACAUUUUCUUAUAUAUUUAUUCAACAAAUUUUAUAGAGCACUUACUAUGUGCUAGACACCAUUCUAGGUGCUAGAUAUCAGUGAUGAACAAGGUAAUUUCAGAGAGGGAUAAACUCACUGAGAGGAAGAAACAAAAUGUCAACCUCUCCCAUUUACUACCUUUUGCCUUAUUAUGUUUUAUAUCUGUUUAUUAUGUUUGUUUUCUAUUAUCUGUUUCCUAUCUCUAGAAUUUUUGUCUUUUUGUUCAUUCCCUGGCAUCCAAAAACAGUGCUUGGCUCAUACUAGAUGAAAGAAUCUCAUUGUUUCUUUUUGCAUUCCUUCAAAUAAAGUUGGGCAUUUAUUUCUUCAUGUUUUUCAGCCAAUACGUGCUCUUUCUAUUGUGAAAUGAUGGCUUAUGUCUGUCUUAGUCUGUUCAGGCUGGUCUAACAAAAUACCACAGACUGGGUAGCUGAUAAACAACAGAAAGUUAUUCCUCACAGUUCUGGAGGCUGGAAGUCUGAGAUCAGGGCACUGGCAUGGUUGGGUGAGGGCUCUCUUCCAGGUGGCAGAUUUCUCCUUAUCUUCACAUGGCAGAAGGGGCUAGGGAACUCUCCAGGACCUUUUAUAAGAAACUAAUCCCAUUCAUGAGGGCUCCGCCCUCAUGACCUAAUCACCUCCUAAGGGCUCCCACCUCCUAAUACCAUCACAAGGGGUAUUAGGAUUGCAACAUAUGAAUUUUGGUGGGACACACACAUUCAGACCAUAACAUGUCCUUAGCCCAUUUUGUUUUAAAUUAGGGUAUUUUUUUGGUUGUUGUUUCUUAAUGAUAAGAGUUUUUCAUAUAUUAAAAGAUGAUAACUCUUUGGUAUGUGUAAUAAAUAUUUCCCCCAUUUUGCCCUUGAUAUUUUGACUUUAUUGAUGCUUUUUUUUCUCGUAUGAAGCUUCAUAUAGUAAAAUGUGUUGAUAUUACCCUUUAUGAUUUCUACCUUUAAAAAGGGCCUUUCUGGCUCCAUUUAUGGUAGUAAUGAAGUAGCUUCUAUUGUACCUACCCUCCCACAGAUACAAAUUAUAAACUCUGGACGAAAUGUUUUUUAAAACUACCCCAAAGUACUGAAAAGUAGUCCCAAACAGGGAAAAUACAUUUAGAAGAGAUAAAUAGCACUGGGUGAGCUUUCCAUUUUUAUGGCUUUUUGUCUGAAAGCAGGCACCAGUCAACACUAUGUGGGAGGAUGUACGAUCUUAUUGGCUUAAGGAACCAAAGGAGAGAGGUCAAGUCAACCACAGCAGCUAGGAAGUGACAGAGAAUCCUAGGAAGGAAAGAGAUACAGGGAAAGGCCCCAAAUUCUGCAUAUAAAUUCUGCCCAAAUCCCCGGAUGACUUCUGAAUUUGGCAUGCACAUGGAAAACACCAAACAUCUCAGCUAAUCCUAAAAUGAUUGAACAAAAAUUUCAACCGAUGAUGACCACAAGGGAAACAGAGCUUAGAUACAGUUUGAGCACAGACUGAUAAAACAAAACAAACAAACAAACAAACAAAUGCAAAUCAACAUUCUUCAGACAGAUAAAAUAGAAUCUGGAGACUAUAAAUAUCAUUUACAGAGUCCAGGAUACAACACAACAUUAUUAGCCAUAUGAAGAAACUGGAAAAUGUGUCCCAUAUUGACAAGAAAAUGCAAUCAAUGGAGACAGAUCCAGGGGUGAUACAGAUGUUGGAAUUAGCUGACAAGUUUUGAGAGCAGUAAAUGUAAAGAUGCUUAAGGACAUAAAUGAAAAUGUGCUCAUAAUGAAUGUACAGACAGUAUCCAUCAUCAGAGAAAUAAUAACUACAAAAAAAUCAAAUGUAACUUCUAUUACUGAAAAAUAAAAUAUGAGAGAUAAGAAAUUCACUGGGUAGGCUUAACAGUAUAUAGGAGAUGCCAGAAGAGUCAGUGAACUUGAAGAUAUAUUAAUGAAUAUGAUCUGAUCUGAAGAAUACACAGGAAAAAACAUUAAAAAUAACAUCAGCAGAGUCUGAGUAACCUGUAAGACAAUAAAACAAUAUCUAGCAUAUGUGUAAUUGGAAUUACAGAGGGAGAAAUAGAGAAGAUAUGGUAGAAAAAAUAUUUGAAGAAAUAAUGGCUGAAGUUUUCCAAAAUUUGGUGAAAGACAUAAAUUUAUAGUUUCAAGAAGCUCAAAGAACCUCAGUAGGAUAAACACAAGCAAAACUACAUCUAGGUAUAUCAUAGUCAAACGGAUAAAACCAAAGAUAAAGAGAAAAAUUUGAAAGGAUUCAGAGAAAAAUGGUAUAUUAUAUACAUAAGAAUAACAAUAUGAUUUGACUGAGUUCUCAUCAGAAACAAUGGAGGCCAGAAGACAAUGAAACAUCUUUAAAGUGCUAAAAGGAAAAAUAAGCUUUUCAACCCAGAAUUCUAUGUCCAACAAAAAUAUCUCAGAAAAUGAAAGCAAAAGAAAGACAUCUCAAGAUACAUAAAAACAAAGAGAUUUAUCACCACCAGACCUGUACUACAACAAAGUGACCAGUGUGACCUCCACUGUUAGGUGUUAUGGGGCACUGUGGGUUCUGCUUUGAUCUUUUGGAUAGCUCUCUCCAGGGGAAGCCAGCCACCAUGCCCUGAGGACACUUAAGUAAAGCUGUGGAAAGCCCACAUGGAGAGGAAUUGAAGUUUUUGCCAACAGUCAAUACCAAGUUGCCAGGUAUGUGAGUGAGUCACUUGGGAAGUGAAUCCUCCAGUCCUAGUAAAACCUUCAGAUGAAUGAAGCCCCAGCUGACAUCUGACCACAAUCUUAAUGGAUACUCUCAGACAGGACUGGAUAUCCAAAUCACUCCUGAAUUUCUGACACAAAGAAACUGUGAGAGGUAUUAAAUAAACACUGCUGUUUUAAACCACUUUUAGUUGAUUUGUUAUACAGCACUAGAUAAUUUACAUAAGCCUCCAUCAUAAGAAACUGGGUUGGGGUGGGAGGACAAAAUAAUAUCAUAGUUAGAAGAAGAGAAAAAAUAUAAGAGCAGAAAUGAAUAAAAUCUAAAACAAACAAAGUUGGUCUUCUGAAAUAAUCAACAAAAUUGAUAAAACUAUAGGCAGACUAAUCAAGAAUAAAAGAAGGGUGCCUAGCUGGCUCAGUUGGUAGAACAUGCAACUCUAGAUCUUGGGGUUGUGAGUUGGAGCCCUGUGUUGGAUGUAUAGAUUACUUAAAAACAAAAUCUUUAAAAAAAAAAAAAAAGAGAGAGAACACAGAACACAAAUUACUAAUAUCAGGAAUAAAGAGGUGAUAUUACUAUAGAGACUACAGAUCAUUAAAAAGAUAAAAGAAUAUUAUUAACAACUUUAUACCAACAAAUUCAACAACUUACACGAAAUAGAUAAAAAUCUUGAAACACUAUGAUUACCAAAAUUGAGACAAGAUGAACUAGAAUAUAUGACUGCUUGGAUAUCUAUUAAAGAAAUUAUUUCACACACAAAAAACUCCAGGCCCAGAUAACUUCAUUGAUGAAAUUUAUCAGAUAUUUAAAGAACAGUCUUAUACAAAUACCAUCUUACACAAACUCCUUCAUAAAAUGGAAAGGGACCCUCCUAAAUUCAUUGCAUGAGUCAUGAAUAACACUGAUAACAAAAAAUUUCCAGAAAAAUUAUAGACAAAUAUCCCUUAGGAACACAGACACAAAAUCUUUAAGACAUUAGCAAAUAGAAUAUAGAAACACAAAAAAGAUAAUAAAUUAUGACCGAGGCUUUUCUCAGAAAGGAAAGGAUGGUUUAACAUUCAAAAAUCAAUGUAAUUAACCAUUAAUAGAAAAAAAGAUAAUCAUGUGAUCGUUUUAUCAGAUGCAAAAAAAUACUCAUUUGUGACUAUAAAAAAUCAGCAAAUUAGGUUUAGAAGUAACUUCCUCAAUAUGACAGAGGGCAUCUAUAGAAAUUGUCAACUAACAUUUGUUUGUUUACUUAUUUAUAAAGCUUAUUUAUUUAAGUAAUCUCUACACCCAAAAUGGGGCUCUAACUCACAACCCCAAGAUCAAGAGCUAUGCACUCCUCUGAAUGAGUCCACUGGGUGCUUGUUCUAAACAUCAAAUUUAAUGGUGAAAUAUUGGGGUGUCUGGGUGGCUCAGUCAGUUAAGUAUCUGACUGUUGAUUUUGGCUCAGGUCAUGAUCUCACGGUUUGUGAGUUUGAGCCCUGCACUGGGUUCUGCAUUGACAGUGCAGAGCCUGUUUGGGAUUCUCUCUCUGCCCCUCCCCCACUCACACAUGUACUCUUGUGCUCUCUCUCUCAAAUAAACUCGUGAAAUAUUGAAUGCUUUCUCUCUAAGAAUAGAAACAAGCCAAGGAUGUUCACUUUCAGUAUUUCUAUCCAACACUAUAUUGGAUCUAAGCCAGUGUAAUAAGACAAGAAAAAGAAAGAAAACUCAUAUAGAUCAGAAAGGAAGAAUUAGGGGUGCCUGGGUGGCUCAGUCGGUUGAGCAUCUGACUUCAGCUCAGGUCAUGAUUUCGCAUUGAUGAGUUCAAGCCCCGUGUCGGGCUCUGUGCUGACAGCUCAAAGCCUGGAGCCUGCUUCGGAUUCCAUGUCUCCCUCUCUGUCUGCCCCUCCCCCGCUCAUGCUCUUUCUC